RNAcentral lists this transfer RNA (65 nucleotides) under Taenia laticollis. RNAcentral's name for it is "tRNA-Val". The record is from RNAcentral. Lineage: Eukaryota; Metazoa; Platyhelminthes; Cestoda; Cyclophyllidea; Taeniidae.
UGUAAUGUAGUUUAUUUAAAAUGUUUGUUUUACACGCAAUUGAACUCUUUACUAGAGCUUUACUA